This 935-nucleotide ribosomal RNA is filed under the name Pseudomonas sp. 3Sp21. RNAcentral's name for it is "partial 16S ribosomal RNA". Lineage: Bacteria; Pseudomonadati; Pseudomonadota; Gammaproteobacteria; Pseudomonadales; Pseudomonadaceae. The record is from RNAcentral.
GUGGACUACCAGGGUAUCUAAUCCUGUUUGCUCCCCACGCUUUCGCACCUCAGUGUCAGUAUUAGUCCAGGUGGUCGCCUUCGCCACUGGUGUUCCUUCCUAUAUCUACGCAUUUCACCGCUACACAGGAAAUUCCACCACCCUCUACCAUACUCUAGUCAGUCAGUUUUGAAUGCAGUUCCCAGGUUGAGCCCGGGGAUUUCACAUCCAACUUAACAAACCACCUACGCGCGCUUUACGCCCAGUAAUUCCGAUUAACGCUUGCACCCUCUGUAUUACCGCGGCUGCUGGCACAGAGUUAGCCGGUGCUUAUUCUGUCGGUAACGUCAAAACACUAACGUAUUAGGUUAAUGCCCUUCCUCCCAACUUAAAGUGCUUUACAAUCCGAAGACCUUCUUCACACACGCGGCAUGGCUGGAUCAGGCUUUCGCCCAUUGUCCAAUAUUCCCCACUGCUGCCUCCCGUAGGAGUCUGGACCGUGUCUCAGUUCCAGUGUGACUGAUCAUCCUCUCAGACCAGUUACGGAUCGUCGCCUUGGUGAGCCAUUACCUCACCAACUAGCUAAUCCGACCUAGGCUCAUCUGAUAGCGCAAGGCCCGAAGGUCCCCUGCUUUCUCCCGUAGGACGUAUGCGGUAUUAGCGUCGUUUUCGAACGUUAUCCCCACUACCAGGCAGAUUCUAGGCAUNCUACCCGUCGCGCUCUCNAGGAGCAGCUCUCUACGCCGACUGAUGUUAGGCUGCGCAGUUCAUUUACCAGAUACCCAAAGACACUUAUUAACCGGUAAAAAAACCUCCUUCUUUAAACGGGGAGGGGUAUUUCUCUAGAAUUUCCGGUUUUGUGAGAAUCUUUAAACGGCCNUUUUCUUUUUUUGGAAAGGGACUCGCCCCNUUAACUGGGAAUUUUGUGGGUUCCCAAAAAUAUUUAGAUUUUCAAC